AAAACAUUGAAGAGGUCAUCGGGUUGUGACUUACUGACUUUUCAUAUCCGAAUCGGAGAUCUCUCAAUCCGAUUUACAUUUAUGAUCUACAAAAAUGGGGGCUGAUAAACUCUUUAAGUUUCAUCAGCCAAGAUCAACUCUAGGGCAUGUCUUGUAAGGACGGACAUCUCUCUCAAAAACUCAAAUGUUGCAGCUAGGGAUGUUAAAAAGGGCUUAAACUUACAGGGUUGCCCAGCUCGUGUCAAAAUUAUAAAUCUGUGGGCCCUGUUUUUUAUGUAAAAUUAAAUUGAGUUGAUAAAGGGCCGAGUAUAAUAAAUUUCGAGUUGGCCCUGUUACAUUUUUUCUAAACAACAAAACUUUUUUUUUCUCAGUUCUUCUCUUCUUCUCUAGCCACAAAAGACGAUUCCUUGAUUCACUAACACAAUAACGCACAAGUUCAUGCUUCACAAUCUCUUCAAGCUCUAAUUGGGUUCAAUAUGGAUUUACAGUCAUUAGAAACAAUUGCAACUCUAAAUGCUGAAAAUGAUUACAUGGAGAUGGAGAUGAAUGAAGAAGGUUAAGCAAGUAUGACACAGGGACAAGCAAGUAUGACACAGGGACAAGCACAAAGCAUGACUCAACCAACACAAACACCUAGGCCACGACCAGCUCGAUGAACUCGGAGAAGGACUCCACGCAUUCAACCGGUACGUCCAAAAAAACUAAGAGCUAAAUGUUGGCUAGAGUUUACUUCCGUAGGAAUAGAGGAAGAUGGAAGAGAAAGGGCUAGAUGUCACCAUUGUGGUAUUAAGUUAGUAAUAGAUACCAAGUCAUUAGGAACAUCAACAUUGACUCGCCAUCUAGGUCUUUGUCCUAAUAGACCUCCACCUGUUGAUAGACCUCAGUAUGAUAACAAAGUUGAUAGAGAGAUGACUUCCAAGAUCAUCAUAUAUCAUGAUUUGCCUUUUAGAUAUGUUUAAUAUGAGAAGGUUAGGGCUAGGGAUAUAUUUCUCAAUCCGGACUGCAACAUAUAUGUAGACAAACUGCUGGAGCUGAUGUGUAUAAGAGAUAUGAGAUAGAAAAAGCAAAAUUGAUAGAGUUUUUCUCUAAAUACCAAGGCAGAGUGUGUUUAACAGCGGAUUUGUGGUCUGCUCGUUAUACAGUCAUGGGUUAUAUUUGUGUUACUGCACAUUACAUUGAUGAUAGCUGGAGGUUAAUCAAUAAGAUUUUGGCUUUUUGUCAUUUCAAACCUCCACACAAUGGUGAAGAAAUUGUUAAGAAAAUUUAUGAUUGCUUAAAGAUGUGGGGUUUAGAAAAGAAGGUUUUUUCUAUCACUUUAGAUAAUGCUAAAGCCAAUGAUAGUAUGCGGAAGAUUAUUAAGCAUCGUCUUGGUAAUGGGCUGUUGUGUGAUGGAAAGUUUUUGCAUGUGAGAUGUUCAGCUCAUAUCCUGAAUUUGAUAGUUAAAGCAGGGUUGGAUGUAGCCAGUAGUCUUUUGGAGAAUAUUCGAAAUAGUGUAAAAUUUGUAAAAGGAUAUUAGUCGAGGAAAGAAUCAUUUGCAACAUGCAUUGAGAGCUUAGGAAUCAAAGGUGGAGCUGGGUUAUCUUUGGAUGUUGCAACUCGUUGGAACUCAACAUAUGAGAUGUUGGCUAGAGCUUUAAAAUUCAGAAAAGCGUUUGGUAUUUUGAAUUUGUAUGAGAGAGAUUACAAUUCAUUACCAUCAGAGGAAGAAUGGGAUCGAGGUGAGAAAAUAUGUGACAUGUUAAAACCAUUUUAUACCAUCACCACAUACAUUUCAGGAGUGAAGUAUCCAACAACCAAUGUUUAUUUCAUUCAAGUGUGGAAAAUUGAGUUGUUGCUGAAGAAAUAUUCUAUUUGUGAUGAUGUUUAUGUGAGAGCAAUGGCUCAAAUGAUGCGAAAGAAGUUUGCAAAGUAUUGGAAUCAAUUCAGUAUCAUUCUUGCUAUGGGAGCAUCUUUGGAUCCAAGAUUGAAGUUGCAAAUACUUGAGUCAGCUUAUGACAAGGUCGAUUCAAGCACUUCCAAGGAAAAAGUUGAAAUUGUUAGGAAGAAUCUGGUUCUGCUUUAUGAAGAAUAUAAUACUCAAUCUUUCAAAGUCUUCAACAACACCUACUCCAGAUGAGCUUAUCUCUGAAUCACCACUUGAGGAUGAUUUAAAUGAUGAUCUGUUUGAUCUUGAAAGUGGCCUCAAGUCUAGUUCAGGAAACCACAAAUCAAAUUUGGAAAUCUAUUUGGAUGAAUCUAGACUAGAGAUGAAGACUUUUACAGACAUGGAAGUGUUAAGUUUUUGGAAGGAUAAUCAACAUCGAUAUGGUGAUUUAGCUUCCAUGGCAUCUGAUAUUCUCAGCAUUCCAAUCACCACCGUAGCAUCAGAGUCAUCUUUCAGUGUUGGAGGUAGAGUUUUGAAUCCUUACAGAAGCCGACUUCUUCCCAAAAAUGUUCAAGCAUUAAUUUGCACUAGAAACUGGUUGCGUGGAUUUGCUGAGUUUGAAGGAGACAUUGAAGAUUAUUUUGAUGAUGAAGAUAAUAAUGAUCCAAAAAUAACAGGAGUUGGAGAGUCAAACACAUGAUGAGCAGGCAGAUGAAUCUGGUGUUGAGGACAAGUCCCACACAAAUGAGCUUAAUCAAUUCAGGGGCAAAUGGAAGAAUCUGAAGCGGAGAUUCUUAUUUUACUAUGUUUGGCGAGGAGAUCAAAACUGAGUUUAUUUUACAAUUUUACUAUGUUUGGCUUUUAAAUAGCAAUGAUAAACAGAUUUGAGUUUGUUUUGAUUUGAAGUAUAUUUGAGUUUUGAAUUUUUAGAAAUGUUUUACAUAGCAUGAAAUUUGG
Molecule: non-coding RNA, 2821 nt
Organism: Camelina sativa (false flax)
Lineage: Eukaryota; Viridiplantae; Streptophyta; Magnoliopsida; Brassicales; Brassicaceae
Source: RefSeq, a predicted model, not a curated record